This is a non-coding RNA of Corylus avellana, 4576 nucleotides long. The record is from RefSeq and is a predicted model, not a curated record. NCBI's taxonomy places the organism in Eukaryota, Viridiplantae, Streptophyta, Magnoliopsida, Fagales, Betulaceae.
UGCAAACACUAAUACUCUCAUUUUGUCGAAAGCUUGAAGAAUUGCCGAGAGACAUUAAAAAAUUAGUCAAUCUCAGGCAUCUUGAUAUAGAAGGAUGUAAUAAGUUGGCUUAUAUGCCAUGUGGGUUGGGGCAAUUGACUAAUCUUCAGACUUUAUCAAAAUUUGUGGUCUACAAAGAUCCUCUUUUUAGGCAUAGCAGUGGGUUAAAAGAACUAAACGGACUAAAUAACCUGAGAGGACACUUAGAAAUUAAAAAUCUGAGACACGGGAAAGAUGCUACGUCAGAAUGUAAGGCUGCAAAUUUAAAGGAGAAACAACAUCUUGAUGCUUUGGAUUUACGGUGGAGUAUCGAAUUAGAAGAUGUCAUAUCUUCGGACGAUAUUUUUGAUGAUGAAGUGUUAUUGGAAGUCCUCCAACCGCACCUAAAUCUGAAACAACUUUUUUUAGAAGGCAAUUACGGUGCAAGGCUUCCGAUUUGGCUUUCGUCACUCACAAAUCUUGUUAGAUUUGAGUUAGAUGGGUGUACGAAAUGCCAAUAUCUGCCUCCUUUGAAUCAACUGCCUUCUCUCAAAGUUCUUCAUCUUUACCAAAUGGAUGCUCUGGAGUACAUAUCAUCAGGCAGUGGUGAUAGCAAUGAGUUUUCUUUUUUUUUCCCAUCUCUCAAGGAAAUUAUACUCUUUCGUUGCCCUAAUCUCAAGGGGUGGUGGAGGAGGAGGGAUUCUUCUGUGCAGGUCAAUAGUGAUAGUCAUAAUUUUGUUGAAAUAACGGAGCAUCCUUUCCUCGUCUUUCAAAAUUAGGGAUUUUUCAUUGCCCUUUGUUGACCUCCAUGCCAAUGUUUCCACAUCUUGAAGAAUAUUUUUUACUUGAAAAUUCUAGCUCAAAGCCACUGCAACAGACAAUGAUGAUGAAUAUGGCAACACCGCAAAGUCCAACGUCAACAGCAACAGCCUCCUCUUCAUCCACUCCUCUCUCAAAAUUGAAGUCUAUGCUACUGAAUAGCAUUGAGGAUCUAGAAGCUCUGCCAGAGGAGUGGUUGCAGAACCUCACUUCUCUCGAAUAUUUAAACAUAAAGUACUGCAAUAGAUUAAAUUCUCUCUCCCCAGGUAUACAACAUCUCACUGCCCUUCAAAACCUGGUUCUUUUUAAUUGUCGUGAGCUUGAGCUUGUCAAUGAUGAGGAUGGGAUGCAUUGGCAAGGCCUUAAGAGCCUCCUAUCUUUGGAGUUUACAGAGGUUCCGAAAUUGGUGUCUCUCCCGUUGGGGCUUCAACAUGCAACCACUCUACAAAGGCUCAAGAUUUCAAAUUGUGAAAACUUGACGGCUAUACCAGAGUGGAUCCACAACUGCACAUCACUUCAAGUGCUUGAAAUUGAUGAAUGCUCCAGUUUGACAUCACUGCCCGAAGGAAUGCGUAGCCUAACGUAUUUGCAGACGCUGAAAAUUCAUAACUGUCCCAUCUUACUGCAAAGAUGUGAGAGAGAAGCGGGUGAGGAUUGGGCCAAGAUUGCUCACAUUCCAGAGUUAAAAUUAACGUAUCCAGAGUCAGAUGCGGAAGUAGCAGAACCAGCUAAAGAACAGAAGAAACAGAGGAUUUGGAGUAUAUUCAAAAAAUCUAGGGCGCUGAAUUCAUGAUUCUUCACAUAUCAGGAGAAACAAUUAGCCUCUAUUCUUGCUCUUCCCACCAAUUCACUGCUGUCAUAUCGAACAAAAGGCAGUAAAUCAAGUCACGGAUCAUCAAGAUCUUUGCCCAGCCCUACACCAUGGUGUGCGAGUUGUACGGUGGAGGACGAUUGGGCGUUGUUUGGUGGGACGAAGCCCAGAUUGGUCUCUACACGGGAUUGGGAAAAAGUAGCAGAAGCAUGUUAAAGCAUACCACAACAAAAGCCGCAACAUGAAGCCAAACAUUGUUCCUAAUUGCAUUUGAUAAGAGAGCCACAUGAUCUCCAUUGAAGUGGAUAGUAACAUCAACUAGACUUGCAAGCUUCUGAAUCUCAGGUUUUGUUGAUUUGGGAUUGUCAUGCUUUUGGGGGUUUUGGUUUCAAUCUCAGGUUUUGGUUGAUCUGGAGAGUGAGCUAGUUUUCGUGGGUCUUCCUUGGGUCUGUGAUGGGAUUGGAGGGAAAGAUGCACUCUCUUGACUUGGAGGGAGUUAAGUUUCGGCAAGAGCUUUAUGGGGUCUUCUUUGAGCUAGUGGUUCAAUUUAGGCUUUGGGUGGAAUUGAAUAGUGGUUCAGAGAAAGUGUGAGAGUGUGGUAACAUGUCUGUUGUCACUCCAUGAGUCAACCCACUUGAGUCAACCCCUUGUCACGGCUAUACCAGAGUGGAUCCACAACUGCACAUCACUUCAAGAGCUUGUAAUUAAUGGAUGCGCCAAUUUGACAUCACUGCCCAAAGGAAUCCGUAGCUUAACGUCUUUGCAGAGGCUGAAAAUUGAGAAGUGUCCCAUCUUAUUGCAAAGAUGCGAGAGAGAAGUAGGUGAGGAUUGGGCCAAGAUUGCUCACAUUCCAAACUUAGAAUUAAACUAUCCAGAUUCAGAUGCAGAAGUAGAAGAACCAGCUAAAGAAAAAGAGGAUUUCGAGCAUAUUCAAAAAAUCUAGGGCGUUGAAUUCAUGAUUCCUCUAUUGCGUGAUCUCAAACAAAAGACAGUAAAGUCAAGUCACCCAUCAAGACCCUUGCCCACCCCUACACCAUGGUGUGCGAGCUGUUCUGGGCAGGAGGAUUGAGCGCUGAUUGGUGGGAUGAAGCCCAGAUUGGCAUCUACACGGGAAUUGGGCGAGUACUCUGAAUGAGUGACCAUGAAUCUUGCAAACUCCGAUCCUUUUGAGGAUGAUUGGGUUGCAGUUUUUUCUCCUGCAAACUUCAAGUAAUCUACAUCUCUAGCUUUAUCAGUUUGUACAGUCUAGCUAGCCAGUCGUUUUCCCAUUCACAAAUAAGAUUGAAUAGUAUUUGCAACUUAGCCAAUGCCUUUUCAAGAACAGAGUAAUUUUUUUUUACCAAAUAAUGGAGAUUAUAGUUGUGGGACUAAAAUUUCCUCUGUUAAUGCAUAAAUUGAAGGGGUAUUUUUGCUUUGAAUUGGCAGCUCAUCAACCUGUCUACCAGUGAAUAAAUUGUAGGAUUUAUCUUUGUUUUCCUAUGUCUCUGUCUCUCUCUCCCAUGGUCCUUUACUUUCAUCCAAAGUACCAAAUUCGAAAUCUUAAAAGCAAUUAUACUUGCAGUUGUGAUUUGAUAUCAAGGAGAUAGCAAGGAACUUCUACAAAAUGUGUCAUCUUUGCUGAAAUUGGGGGGGUCAUUUUUUUGGUAUUACUCCUGACUGAUGUUUAAUAUAGUAUGAAAUAGAGGUUGUUGAAUACUUGUUAUUUGGGAGUUAUUUGUUAAUUACAUUGGGAUUUACUUUGUAUACGUGUUUGGAUGUAUUUAUUGAAACUAAUUCAAAUAUUUGAUUUAGCUAGUGCUUUCAGCUGUUUAUUUGCAAUUUGAUAAUUUACUUAAUUGUUUGUGUAUUUUGGUAGCUUUUCUUGGUACUUAAACUAAGAUAAUGGGGUCUACAUCCAUGCACUACUCUCUCUUUCUUUCACUCUCUUUCAGUUGAUUUGGUAGCCUAGAAAGAUUAUUAACUUUGAUCAGAUUCUAAAUUGUUGAGAUUACUGAGAUUCAUCCAUCCACAAUCAAAUAUAUAGGGAGAUACUCUUAUUUUCAUAUUGCAUCCUUCUUAUGUUAUAAAUUAUAAAUCUCUAAUUCUCAAGCAUUGACAAUCUCCAUUAAUGAUUUAUGUUCUAUUUGUGGUAGAUUGGAAGUAAAACUUCAUAUUCUUGUCUUAAAUUAUGGUCUUAUUUAAUAUUCUAAAUCCCGUUGCACAGGUAAAUCAUAGCGUAAAUUUUUACCCGCUAUUCAUGGGGAUCAAAAAUUGAUUUCUGCAUAUUAACAAUAGAAAUUGUUCUUGCAUUUUUGCUAUAUAUGUUUGCAGGUCAACGAUGACUUUUCUGCUAUGGCAAAUUCAUUACCCUGAAACGUUUAGUUGAUGGCUCCAAAAGAGUUUGGGUUCCUCAUUUUCUAAGUGCACAAGUAAAGCUGAAAAAAUAUAUUUAGCUACAACCUAUUAGUUCAAGAUAGGAAAUGUCUUAGUAAGACUUGUUAUAAGAUUAUUUAGAUGAUAAAGUAAUGCCUCUUUUAAUUAUGUAAAGAAUGUUUGGCUGGAUUUCGGUUUCUUACCGAUGAUCUUGUUUUCUUCUUACAGUCAUAUGAUGAUGAUAAGAAGGGGGUUAGGCAGGUAGUAUGGGCCCUCUGACUUCCAGCUAUGUGCUGUGCGGCUCCCGCGAAGCGAAUGAAGGGAAGCUCUUCGAGCUUUCUCCGCCAGCGGCUUAUGGCAUGGCAAUGUUGUUGUGAACUGAUCACACAUGUUGUGAAUCGCCUUCCCCUUAAAAAAAAAAAAAAAAAUUAACCCAAUUGUAAAAUAAAGUUACAUCUUGAGCAUUGCUGGCAACGGAACAAGUACCAAUGUUUAGAAUCAUGUUAUGAAUGCUUGAACUUUAUGAACCGGUGACUUGAAAUUUGUGGAAGUAAUACAUUAAAUAUGAAUAUAAUU